CGACCGCUGCCGGCAGGCCUAAGCUCAUGUAAGUCGAACGAAGUCUUCGGACUUAGUGGCGCACGGGUGCGUAACGCGUGGGAAUCUGCCCUUGGGUACGGAAUAGCUCAGAGAAAUGUGUGCUAAUGCCGUAUAAUGUCUUCGGACCAAAGUUUAUCGCCCAAGGAUGAGCCCGCGUAAGAUUAGCUAGUUGGUGGGGUAAAAGCCUACCAGGCGACGAUCUUUAGCUGGUCUGAGAGGAUGAUCAGCCACACUGGGACUGAGACUACGGCCCAGACUCCUACGGGAGGCAGCAGUGGGGAAUAUUGGUACAAUGGGCGAAAGCCUGAUCCAGCAAUGCCGCGUGAGUGAUGAAGGCCCUAGGGUUGUAAAGCUCUUUUACCAGGGAUGAUAAUGACAGUACCUGGAGAAUAAG
RNAcentral lists this ribosomal RNA (415 nucleotides) under Sphingomonas sp. oral taxon D72. Its description in RNAcentral is "bacterial SSU rRNA". It matches the Rfam family "Bacterial small subunit ribosomal RNA", at positions 30 to 490 of the family's 1533-position model. Lineage: Bacteria; Pseudomonadati; Pseudomonadota; Alphaproteobacteria; Sphingomonadales; Sphingomonadaceae. The record is from RNAcentral.